GAGAGAGACAUGCGCAGUGAGUGCCUCCCGUCUCUUCUACCCGAACCCCCCCUCCCCCCCCCAGCAGAGAGACCCCAGCAGCAGCAGCAGCUGAUGAUGAAGAGAGAGGCAGUGGCAGAGGGGGGGCACCUUUUAUUUCUAUUUUUAAAGGGACAGGACACUAAUUUUACCCCACUUCAACCUUGAAUUGAGGGGGGUGGGGGGAAGGCGGCUGAGUUCCUUCCCCCACCCUCCAGCCCUGAGACCUGAGAGGGGGAUUGAGCCUGAGAGAGAAGAAGAAGGAGUUUCUUCUUCUUCGAAAACCCCCAUCCACGACUCCUACCCCCUCACCCCUCCACUAGCCUCCCUCCCGAGCCCCCUCCACCCUCCUCCUCUUUGGCCGUGAGAGGAGGAGAGAAAGAGACCAAAAGCCUCUUAGCAACACAGACCCUUCUCUGCUGCUGCUGCUGCUGCUACUGCUGCUGCUGCUUGGCCCUGGCUGGAGACAUCUCACUACACCCAGGAGCAGCCACUUCCCCAGCUCUCCUCCUCCUUCGCCUCCUCCUCCUCCACUCCCCCCCCUUUAUUACCCUUUGUGUCAUCCUCCACAGCUCCAGGGAAGGCACUCAAAAGUGGGGGGCAGGAAAGAUGCUUAUUGAGGAUGCCAGUUUCUGCAUAUGGGAAGUAGAUAUUGAAGGUUAUAUGGUUUACAGACAAGAUCUUUAAAAUAUAGAUACUCAAGAGAGAAGAGGCACUCCCUUAUAGGGACUCAUAAAGGCAUAGAGCAUCUAGAGAUUUACUGCCUCCAUUACGCUGCUGGCUCUCACAGCACUUGUUAUGUUUUUAUCAGUUUCUCUCCAGAAGGUAGGAAUUGUGUUUUUUCUGUACGAAUUCUUUAUAUAAUUAUAGUUUUCUUGACUGUGAACUUAAUUUUUUUUAAAUAUGAAAAGCAUCUGACACCUAAAGAAUAAAAUGCCAGGUGUCUCCAAACAGUUAAGACGUAUAAACACAUUGCCUUUAAAAAAUAUUUCUAUUAUAAAAUUAAUAGAUGUUCAUUAAGAAAAAAAGAUAAGACAAACAGAAAAGUAUAGUAAUCUAUCACCUUGUGAUAACUACUCUUUAUAUUUUGUUGUAUGUCUUUCUGAAUUCAUUGAUAUAUUUGUAUACAAUGUAUAAUAUAUGUAUCCAUAUAAUAUUAUGAUUAGGAUUGGUAACAAUAGGAUAUAAAUGUUCUUUGGCUAGAUUGCUUCUUUACUUAGCAACUUAUUGCCUUAUGUGUAAUGUCAGUAAAUAUCAUCUGCAUUUCCAUUAUUAAUGGUUAUAUAAUAUUCCAGUUUAAGAACAUAACAUAAAUUAUGUAACCACUUUCUAAUUAUUGAGUAUAUGGAAUCUUCCAGGUUUUUUCCUGUGUUAAAUAUGACUUCAGUGAACAUUCUUGUACAUACAUGUUUGCAUUUGUGUCUAGUGAUUUUUUAGGACAGUUUCCAAAAAAGUAAGUGUUGCAGACUCUUAGUUCGUAAGCAUGCUCUCUGAUAGGAGGAUUCCAUGGCCUAUAACAUAAAGAACCACUGUUCACCAUCUUGGAGAAUACCUAUGUAUAGUAGUAACAAAGGUCUGAGAAAUCAAACUUAUUUGACUAUAGAAUGUUUUCUUAAGAUAACAUGUGUCUACAGGAUGGAGAAACUGUGGUGUAUGGAGGCAGGGGACAAUAUGGGAAAUUGCUAUACUUAACACUCAGUUUUGCUGUGAGCCUAAAAUUUCUCUGAAAAAUAAAUUUUAUUUAAAAAAAAGGGAAAGAAAAGUUUUUGAAUGCCAUUGUAUACAUUUACAUUUAAAAUUAAAUUUAGACUUUUACAUACACACACACAAAAUAACAUCAGAACAUAUCAACAUCCCACUGAACACUUUGGAAAAUGCUAGCUUAUGGUAUAUUCUUUUAAAUGGAAUUGGGAGAUCAAAGGGGAAAUAUAUGGAAAGGCUCUACCAAUUUGCAUUUCCACCAACAGUGCAUCAGAGUGCCACUUUCUCUGUAAUUUUGCCAUUGGUAUUAACCAAUGCCAUUGGUAUUCAAUUUAAAUAAAUCUGAAAUGAG
Long non-coding RNA from Lynx canadensis (Canada lynx), 2071 nucleotides. Ensembl lists it as uncharacterized. NCBI's taxonomy places the organism in Eukaryota, Metazoa, Chordata, Mammalia, Carnivora, Felidae. The record is from Ensembl.